This 445-nucleotide ribosomal RNA is filed under the name uncultured bacterium. RNAcentral describes it as "bacterial SSU rRNA". It matches the Rfam family "Bacterial small subunit ribosomal RNA", at positions 331 to 792 of the family's 1533-position model. The record is from RNAcentral.
CCAGACUCCUACGGGAGGCAGCAGUGGGGGAUAUUGCACAAUGGGGGGAACCCUGAUGCAGCGACGCCGCGUGGGUGAAGAAGCGCCUCGGCGCGUAAAGCCCUAUCGGCAGGGAAGAAGCAAGACGGUACCUGACUAAGAAGCCCCGGCUAACUACGUGCCAGCAGCCGCGGUAAUACGUAGGGGGCAAGCGUUAUCCGGAAUCACUGGGUGUAAAGGGAGCGUAGACGGCUGUGCAAGCCUGAAGUGAAAGGCGGGGGCCCAACCCCUGGACUGCUUUGGGAACUGUACGGCUGGAGUGCAGGAGAGGUAAGUGGAAUUCCUAGUGUAGCGGUGAAAUGCGUAGAUAUUAGGAGGAACACCAGUGGCGAAGGCGGCUUACUGGGCUGUAACUGACGUUGAGGCUCGAAAGCGUGGGGAGCAAACAGGAUUAGAUACCCGAGUA